ACGUAGGGUGCGAGCGUUAAUCGGAAUUACUGGGCGUAAAGCGUGCGCAGGCGGUCUGCUAAGACAGGUGUGAAAUCCCCGGGCUUAACCUGGGAACGGCGCUUGUGACUGGCGGGCUAGAGUCUGGUAGAGGGGGGUGGAAUUCCAGGUGUAGCGGUGAAAUGCGUAGAGAUGUGGAGGAAUACCGAUGGCGAAGGCGGCCCCCUGGGCAGAUACUGACGCUCAGGUGCGAAAGCGUGGGGAGCAAACAG
This 251-nucleotide ribosomal RNA is filed under the name uncultured prokaryote. RNAcentral's name for it is "partial 16S ribosomal RNA". It matches the Rfam family "Bacterial small subunit ribosomal RNA", at positions 525 to 775 of the family's 1533-position model. The record is from RNAcentral.